This 918-nucleotide ribosomal RNA is filed under the name Allocryptovalsa rabenhorstii. Its description in RNAcentral is "eukaryotic LSU rRNA". It matches the Rfam family "Eukaryotic large subunit ribosomal RNA", at positions 30 to 972 of the family's 3401-position model. RNAcentral also lists the same sequence under 1 other name. Lineage: Eukaryota; Fungi; Ascomycota; Sordariomycetes; Xylariales; Diatrypaceae. The record is from RNAcentral.
GAAACUAAGCAUAUCAAUAAGCGGAGGAAAAGAAACCAACAGGGAUUGCCCUAGUAACGGCGAGUGAAGCGGCAACAGCUCAAAUUUGAAAUCUGGCCUUACGGUCCGAAUUGUAAUUUGUAGAGGAUGCUUUGGGCGCGGUGCCUUCCGAGUUCCUUGGAACAGGACGCCUUAGAGGGUGAGAGCCCCGUACGGUUGGACACCAAGCCUAUGUAAAGCUCCUUCGACGAGUCGAGUAGUUUGGGAAUGCUGCUCUAAAUGGGAGGUAAAUUUCUUCUAAAGCUAAAUACCGGCCAGAGACCGAUAGCGCACAAGUAGAGUGAUCGAAAGAUGAAAAGUACUUUGAAAAGAGGGUUAAAUAGCACGUGAAAUUGUUGAAAGGGAAGCAUUUAUGACCAGACCUUUGCUAGGCGGAUCAUCCGGUGUUCUCCACCGGUGCACUUCGUCUAGCUUAGGCCAGCAUCGAUUUCUGUAGGGGGAUAAAGGUCUAGGGAACGUAGCUCUCUCCGGAGAGUGUUAUAGCCCUAGGCGCAAUACCUUUACGGGGAUCGAGGUUCGCGCUUCGGCAAGGAUGCUGGCAUAAUGGUCAUCAAUGACCCGUCUUGAAACACGGACCAAGGAGUCGAACAUUUAUGCGAGUGUUUGGGUGUUAAACCCUCACGCGUAAUGAAAGUGAACGGAGGUGAGAGCCCUUAAGGGUGCAUCAUCGACCGAUCCUGAUGUCUUCGGAUGGAUUUGAGUAAGAGCAUAACUGUUCGGACCCGAAAGAUGGUGAACUAUGCGUGGAUAGGGUGAAGCCAGAGGAAACUCUGGUGGAGGCUCGCAGCGGUUCUGACGUGCAAAUCGAUCGUCAAAUCUGCGCAUGGGGGCGAAAGACUUAUCGAACCAUCUAGUAGCUGGUUACCGCCGAAUUCUCCC